CAGUAGCCGCGGGAAUGCGAAGGGUGCAAGCGUUAAUCGGAAUUACUGGGCGUAAAGCGUGCGUAGGCGGUUUGUUAAGUCUGUUGUGAAAGCCCUGGGCUCAACCUGGGAAUUGCAGUGGAUACUGGGUCACUAGAGUGUGGUAGAGGAUAGUGGAAUUUCCAGUGUAGCAGUGAAAUGCGUAGAGAUCGGAAGGAACAUCUGUGGCGAAGGCGACUAUCUGGGCCAACACUGACACUGAGGCACGAAAGCGUGGGGAGCAAACAGGAUUAGAUACCCGUGUAGUCCCUGUCUCUUAUAC
Molecule: ribosomal RNA, 301 nt
Filed under: uncultured bacterium
Lineage: Bacteria
Description: partial 16S ribosomal RNA
Rfam family: Bacterial small subunit ribosomal RNA
Source: RNAcentral